GAUGAAGAACGUAGCGAAUUGCGAUAAGUAGUGUGAAUUGCAGAAUUCAGUGAAUCAUCGAAUCUUUGAACGCACAUUGCGCCCUUUGGUAUUCCAAAGGGCAUGCCUGUUCGAGCGUCAUUUGUACCCUCAAGCUUUGCUUGGUGUUGGGCGUCUUGUCUCUAGCUUUGCUGGAGACUCGCCUUAAAGUAAUUGGCAGCCGGCCUACUGGUUUCGGAGCGCAGCACAAGUCGCACUCUCUAUCAGCAAAGGUCUAGCAUCCAUUAAGCCUUUUUUUCAACUUUUGACCUCGGAUCAGGUAGGGAUACCCGCUGAACUUAAGCAUAUCAAUAAGCGGAGGA
This 341-nucleotide unclassified non-coding RNA is filed under the name soil metagenome. Its description in RNAcentral is "partial contains 5.8S ribosomal RNA, internal transcribed spacer 2, and large subunit ribosomal RNA". The stretch from base 1 to 120 matches the Rfam family "5.8S ribosomal RNA", at positions 35 to 154 of the family's 154-position model. The record is from RNAcentral.